GAUGAACGCUAGCGGCAGGCCUAAUACAUGCAAGUCGAACGAUACCAGGGAGCUUGCUCUCUGGGAAAGUGGCGCACGGGUGCGUAACGCGUAUGCAAUCUACCUUAACCUGGGGGAUAGCCCGGAGAAAUCCGGAUUAAUACCGCAUAACAUUAUUGGAUGGCAUCAUUUAAUAAUCAAACAUUUAUGGGAUUGAGAUGAGCAUGCGUGACANAGUUUAGUUGGUGAGGUAACGGCUCACCAAGACUACGAUGUCUA
Molecule: ribosomal RNA, 258 nt
Filed under: uncultured bacterium
Lineage: Bacteria
Description: partial 16S ribosomal RNA
Rfam family: Bacterial small subunit ribosomal RNA
Source: RNAcentral